UUUGACCUCAAAUCAGGUAGGACUACCCGCUGAACUUAAGCAUAUCAAUAAGCGGAGGAAAAGAAACCAACAGGGAUUGCCUUAGUAGCGGCGAGUGAAGCGGCAAAAGCUCAAAUUUGAAAUCUGGCUCUUUCAGAGUCCGAGUUGUAAUUUGAAGAAGGUAUCUUUGGGUCUGGCUCUUGUCUAUGUUUCUUGGAACAGAACGUCACAGAGGGUGAGAAUCCCGUGCGAUGAGAUGAUCCAGGCCUAUGUAAAGUUCCUUCGAAGAGUCGAGUUGUUUGGGAAUGCAGCUCUAAGUGGGUGGUAAAUUCCAUCUAAAGCUAAAUAUUGGCGAGAGACCGAUAGCGAACAAGUACAGUGAUGGAAAGAUGAAAAGAACUUUGAAAAGAGAGUGAAAAAGUACGUGAAAUUGUUGAAAGGGAAGGGCUUGAGAUCAGACUUGGUAUUUUGUAUGUUACUUCUUCGGGGGUGGCCUCUACAGUUUAUCGGGCCAGCAUCAGUUUGGGCGGUAGGAGAAUUGCGUUGGAAUGUGGCACGGCUUCGGUUGUGUGUUAUAGCCUUCGUCGAUACUGCCAGCCUAGACUGAGGACUGCGGUUUAUACCUAGGAUGUUGGCAUAAUGAUCUUAAGUCGCCCGUCUUGAA
This 643-nucleotide ribosomal RNA is filed under the name Candida tropicalis. RNAcentral describes it as "LSU rRNA". It matches the Rfam family "Eukaryotic large subunit ribosomal RNA", at positions 1 to 658 of the family's 3401-position model. The record is from RNAcentral. Lineage: Eukaryota; Fungi; Ascomycota; Pichiomycetes; Serinales; Debaryomycetaceae.